UACGUAGGGGGCAAGCGUUGUCCGGAAUCAUUGGGCGUAAAGAGCGUGUAGGCGGUUCGGUAAGUCUGCUGUGAAAGUCCAAGGCUCAACCUUGGGAUGCCGGUGGAUACUGUCGAACUUGAGUCCGGAAGAGGAGUGUGGAAUUCCUGGUGUAGCGGUGAAAUGCGCAGAUAUCAGGAGGAACACCGAUGGCGAAGGCAGCACUCUGGGACGUGACUGACGCUGAGACGCGAAAGCGUGGGGAGCAAACAGG
RNAcentral lists this ribosomal RNA (253 nucleotides) under uncultured bacterium. Its description in RNAcentral is "partial 16S ribosomal RNA". It matches the Rfam family "Bacterial small subunit ribosomal RNA", at positions 524 to 776 of the family's 1533-position model. The record is from RNAcentral.